This 85-nucleotide transfer RNA is filed under the name Patescibacteria group bacterium. Its description in RNAcentral is "tRNA-Ser". It matches the Rfam family "tRNA". Rfam says of the family: Transfer RNA (tRNA) molecules are approximately 80 nucleotides in length. Their secondary structure includes four short double-helical elements and three loops (D, anti-codon, and T loops). The record is from RNAcentral. RNAcentral also lists the same sequence under 1 other name.
GGAGAGUUCGCCUAGCGGCCUAUGGCGCCAGUUUGGAGUACUGGUUGGGUGAAAGCCCUCGUGGGUUCAAAUCCCACACUCUCCG